GACGAACGCUGGCGGCGUGCUUAACACAUGCAAGUCGAACGGAAAGGCCCUGCUUUUGUGGGGUGCUCGAGUGGCGAACGGGUGAGUAACACGUGAGUAACCUGCCCUUGACUUUGGGAUAACUUCAGGAAACUGGGGCUAAUACCGGAUAGGAGCUCCUGCUGCAUGGUGGGGGUUGGAAAGUUUCGGCGGUUGGUGAUGGACUCGCGGCUUAUCAGCUUGUUGGUGGGGUAGUGGCUUACCAAGGCUUUGACGGGUAGCCGGCCUGAGAGGGUGACCGGCCACAUUGGGACUGAGAUACGGCCCAGACUCCUACGGGAGGCAGCAGUGGGGAAUAUUGCACAAUGGGCGGAAGCCUGAUGCAGCAACGCUGCGUGCGGGAUGACGGCCUUCGGGUUGUAAACCGCUUUCGCCUGUGACGAAGCGUGAGUGACGGUAAUGGGUAAAGAAGCACCGGCUAACUACGUG
This 468-nucleotide ribosomal RNA is filed under the name uncultured bacterium. Its description in RNAcentral is "partial 16S ribosomal RNA". It matches the Rfam family "Bacterial small subunit ribosomal RNA", at positions 28 to 507 of the family's 1533-position model. The record is from RNAcentral.